This 255-nucleotide ribosomal RNA is filed under the name uncultured bacterium. Its description in RNAcentral is "partial 16S ribosomal RNA". It matches the Rfam family "Bacterial small subunit ribosomal RNA", at positions 524 to 776 of the family's 1533-position model. The record is from RNAcentral.
UACGUAGGGAGCAAGCGUUGUCCGGAAUCAUUGGGCGUAAAGCGCGCGUAGGCGGCCAGAUAAGUCCGGUGUGAAAGUCAAAGGCUCAACCUUUGAAUGCCGCUGGAAACUGUCUGGCUUGAGUCCGGAAGGGGCGAGUGGAAUUCCUGGUGUAGCGGUGAAAUGCGCAGAUAUCAGGAGGAACACCAAUGGCGAAGGCAGCACUCUGGGACGGUACUGGACGCUGAGGUGGCGAAAGCGUGGGGAGCAAACAGG